Molecule: long non-coding RNA, 2668 nt
Organism: Archocentrus centrarchus (flier cichlid)
Lineage: Eukaryota; Metazoa; Chordata; Actinopteri; Cichliformes; Cichlidae
Exons: 5
Source: RefSeq, a predicted model, not a curated record
UUUGUACUGGGCUGGUGAGGACAAUGCAUAGGUAUGGUGUAUGCUGCAUUAUAAUACAACAUGAGCAGUCACAGAGAGAGAGAGACUCAGCAGCAGAAAGCUGGCUUCUGUUAGCUAAGCCAUGUUAAUAUAGGCUAGUACUGUGGUAGCGUUUCGAACCGUUCGUAUUGCUGACAAAAGCACAAGCUUUUAUUUUGAAAGAUAUUGGUUAGUAUUUCCGCUAUUGUGUUGCCCAUGUUCCGUUUAUGUUAGUGAUAUGUCCUCGGUAUGUACUUAUUAAAUCCUGCCGAUAAGCAUGUUGGGGUUUGUGUUACGAUUAGACACCUUUCCAUAACGGGAAAUUAUCAGGGCUAAGUAUAGUGAGCAUCUAUGUUCCAAACUCUACUUGCUGCACUUCCGUUAGCUUUACUUCCUCUUUGUGUUGGACCGUUUACCACGCAGAUGAGAUGGCAGUGUAAAACCUGCGGAUUCAGAGCAACGACAAGGGGUGAUCUUCUGACCCAUUACAGGCUACAGCACAGGACAUUUGAAACUGGAAAUUCGAUCAGUGCUGAAUUUCAGAGAAUAACCACUGUACAACUGGAACCCAAAUUUAUGUCUGGGUUGGACCUUCACACUCCCAAGCUACUGAAGCUGUUUCAUGCUAAAGGUGGAGCACUUGGACAAAGACUGUAGAUCAUAAUGGAGCCACUGGAGAACUCCACGUGCCCUAGGGUUGAGACGGCCAGAGAGGUUGUCCUUCGGUGCCUUAUAGAAUACCUUGGAGAGCAUGGGGAACAUCUCAUCAAAGAGUUCAGUGACAUCGAGAACUUGGAGGAACUUGAACAGCUUGUAGUGGCAAUAACUCACAAAGGACAUAGCCUCCACAAGCGACAGCCCAAAGGAAAUUGGAGUUGUCAUUGAGGGCAUGGAAGUCAUCAGAGGACUUGGAGAUAUUGCCAGUGCUUGCUGUCUCCUCUUGGGCUUGACCUAUGCACUGAAUCUCGACUAUCCCAAGCAGUUGAAGUACACCUUUGAGGUAUUCCAAAAACUUUUCUUGGAACUGGAUGCAUCAAAGCUGUCAAAGAAAGUCCAGUCCCUCAAGAGCAAACUUCUGGCUUGAACUGAGACUAUGGUCGCACACUUUUGUGUGACCCACAAGGUUCAGCUUUAACAAAGCUUGAGAAUUGAAUGUUUGAAGGUGCCAAAUGUCAGUGAAAUUUCUGUUGUGGUCAGUUCACGGUAAAAUGUUUAUGUACAAAUUGUUCUUUUACAUGUUUUCUGUUGGGGCAAGUGCACUUUUCAUAGAUUUGUGCUUUUUCUUUGAGAUCAUAACUGAUAUAAUUUAAUGGCUCGCUGUGCUGAGGAAGCAAGCAUAGGAUUUUUCUUUUCGACAAGACAAUUCUUUCAGUUUAUACAAUGACCAUAAAUGGUCUCCUCUCUUAUUUGUCACAAGCAUUUAAUUUAUUUGUAAUUUUAGCCAGUGGAGUAUGCUCUUGAUUUGCAGGAGAAUCUCAGCUCCCAAUACAUGCCCUGCCCCUUCUACCUUGCAGCAUAUAUUGACCAAUAAGGAUAUUUCACUUGAGGUUAAGCUUAUCCAUUCAGAAUGAAUCAUUUCAAGAUGGGGAAUAUUUCAGACAAAACUAUUUUUUUUCAUUGUAGAGGAACCAAGAAUAGCAUUCAUUCUCCACAUUGAUUAUUUUGAGGAUUCCAUUAGGAACAUUGUGUAAAAAAACAAUAUCACAGCUGUUUAUUGGGUAUUAGCAAAUAUACCACCUGGAUUGCGCUCUAUACUUUGUGCAAUAAACUGGUCUAGUCUCUGCAAGGCUGUUGGUGCUAAAAGAUUUGGCUAUGAUAUUGUGUUAGAGCCUCUCAAAAGAUUUGUGUCUUAAAAAGAAGAGUUUUGUAUGUCUAGAGUUUUUGUUGCCAGUGAUGGAAAGAAUUUUAAAGGGACAGUAUGUUGUAUGGCAGCAGACAAUCUUGGUGCGCACUCUCUUGGUGGACUUAUUGAAAGCUUUACAGGUCCUUACGUUUGCAGGUUCUGCUUAGGACAUCGUUCUGAAUACCCCUUAAAAAAUUCUGUUGUGGUUGGUUCAAGGUAAAAAUGUUUACAAAUUGUUCUUUUACAUGUUUUCUGUUGUGGCACAUGUACUUUUCAAGGAUUUGUGCUUCUCUUUAAGAUCAUAACUGAUAUAAUUUAGCGGCUCACUAAGGUGAGGAAGCAAGCAUAGGAUUUUUCUUUAAGAUAAGACAAUUAUUUCAGUUUAUACAAUGACCAUAAAUGGUCUCCUCUCUUAUUUGUCACAAGCAUUUAAUUUAUUUGUAAAUUUAUGUCAGUAGGACAGUGUAGCCAUGCCCUAACGUUUUUUAGUUCUUCUCGACAGGUCCUCUGGCAACUGUACUCAUUUUUGUUUUCACAAAAAUAGUGUUCAAGGUCAGCAUUUGUAAAAGUUUGCAAUGAAAUGCUAUAAUUUUUAUAAUUAAAAGUGUUACUUUUGGCAAGAAUUUAAUGUAUGUUCUGUUAAUUGAGUUUUAUUUACUCUGUACUUCGUGGUACCCAUUGUAAUCUCACCUUAAAAUGUGGGUCAUGAGAUAAACACAAUAUAUCUAAGUAAGAAUUAUAUUUAGAUUUAAUUAAAUCCACUAAGUAAAUUCAAGUAAAUUCAUUGAUUAAGAUAUAUCAUUAUUA